RNAcentral lists this ribosomal RNA (492 nucleotides) under uncultured bacterium. RNAcentral describes it as "bacterial SSU rRNA". It matches the Rfam family "Bacterial small subunit ribosomal RNA", at positions 903 to 1397 of the family's 1533-position model. The record is from RNAcentral.
AAAUGAAUAGACGGGGACCCGCACAAGCAGCGGAGCAUGUGGUUUAAUUCGAAGCAACGCGAAGAACCUUACCAAGGUUUGACAUCCUCUGACAGGUAUGGAAACAUACUCUCCCUUCGGGGCAGAGAGACAGGUGGUGCAUGGUUGUCGUCAGCUCGUGUCGUGAGAUGUUCGGUUAAGUCCGGCAACGAGCGCAACCCCUAUUAACAGUUGCCAAUAUUAAGUUAGGAACUCUGUUAAGACUGCCGUGGGUUAACACGGAGGAAGGUGGGGACGACGUCAAAUCAUCAUGCCCCUUAUAUCUUGGGCUACACACGUGCUACAAUGGGCAUUACAAAGAGCAGCAACCCUGUAAAGGUAAGCGAAUCUCAAAAAGGUGCCCCCAGUUCGGAUUGUGGGCUGCAACCCGCCCACAUGAAGUAGGAGUUGCUAGUAAUCCCGAAUCAGCAUGUCGGGGUGAAUGCGUUCCCGGGUCUUGUACACACCGCCCGU